AAUAGAUACCCAGGUAGUCCACGCCGUAAACGGUGGGCACUAGGUGUGGGGAACAUUCCACGUUCUCCGUGCCGAAGCUAACGCAUUAAGUGCCCCGCCUGGGGAGUACGGCCGCAAGGCUAAAACUCAAAGGAAUUGACGGGGGCCCGCGACAAGCGGCGGAGCAUGCGGAUUAAUUCGGUGCGACGCGAAGAACCUUACCUGGGUUUGACAUAUACCGGAAAGCUGCAGAGAUGUAGCCCCCGCAAGGUCGGUAUACAGGUGGUGCAUGGCUGUCGUCAGCUCGUGUCGUGAGAUGUUGGGUUAAGUCCCGCAACGAGCGCAACCCUCGUCCUAUGUUGCCAGCGGAUUAUGCCGGGGACUCAUAGGAGACUGCCGGGGUCAACUCGGAGGAAGGUGGGGAUGACGUCAAGUCAUCAUGCCCCUUAUGUCCAGGGCUUCACGCAUGCUACAAUGGCUGGUACAAAGGGCUGCGAGACCGCAAGGUUAAGCGAAUCCCAAAAAGCCAGUCUCAGUUCGGAUUGGGGUCUGCAACUCGACCCC
This 543-nucleotide ribosomal RNA is filed under the name uncultured bacterium. RNAcentral's name for it is "bacterial SSU rRNA". It matches the Rfam family "Bacterial small subunit ribosomal RNA", at positions 777 to 1319 of the family's 1533-position model. The record is from RNAcentral.